This 1076-nucleotide ribosomal RNA is filed under the name Streptomyces sp. ScaeMP-e48. RNAcentral's name for it is "bacterial LSU rRNA". It matches the Rfam family "Bacterial large subunit ribosomal RNA", at positions 589 to 1550 of the family's 2925-position model. Lineage: Bacteria; Bacillati; Actinomycetota; Actinomycetes; Kitasatosporales; Streptomycetaceae. The record is from RNAcentral.
AGUCGUGACUGCGUGCCUUUUGAAGAAUGAGCCUGCGAGUUAGCGGUGUGUAGCGAGGUUAACCCGUGUGGGGAAGCCGUAGCGAAAGCGAGUCCGAAUAGGGCGAUUGAGUUGCACGCUCUAGACCCGAAGCGGAGUGAUCUAGCCAUGGGCAGGUUGAAGCGGAGGUAAGACUUCGUGGAGGACCGAACCCACCAGGGUUGAAAACCUGGGGGAUGACCUGUGGUUAGGGGUGAAAGGCCAAUCAAACUCCGUGAUAGCUGGUUCUCCCCGAAAUGCAUUUAGGUGCAGCGUCGUGUGUUUCUUGCCGGAGGUAGAGCACUGGAUAGGCGAUGGGCCCUACCGGGUUACUGACCUUAGCCAAACUCCGAAUGCCGGUAAGUGAGAGCACGGCAGUGAGACUGUGGGGGAUAAGCUCCAUGGUCGAGAGGGAAACAGCCCAGAGCAUCGACUAAGGCCCCUAAGCGUACGCUAAGUGGGAAAGGAUGUGGAGUCGCAGAGACAACCAGGAGGUUGGCUUAGAAGCAGCCACCCUUGAAAGAGUGCGUAAUAGCUCACUGGUCAAGUGAUUCCGCGCCGACAAUGUAGCGGGGCUCAAGCGUACCGCCGAAGUCGUGUCAUUCAUACACAUAUCCCCAACGGGAGUAUGGAUGGGUAGGGGAGCGUCGUGUGCCGGGUGAAGCAGCCGCGGAAGCGAGUUGUGGACGGUUCACGAGUGAGAAUGCAGGCAUGAGUAGCGAUACACACGUGAGAAACGUGUGCGCCGAUUGACUAAGGGUUCCUGGGUCAAGCUGAUCUGCCCAGGGUAAGUCGGGACCUAAGGCGAGGCCGACAGGCGUAGUCGAUGGACAACCGGUUGAUAUUCCGGUACCCGCUUUGAAACGCCCAGUACUGAAUCAGGCGAUGCUAAGUCCGUGAAGCCGGCCCGAUCUCUUCGGAGUUGAGGGUAGUGGUGGAGCCGAUGAACCAGACUUGUAGUAGGUAAGCGAUGGGGUGACGCAGGAAGGUAGUCCAGCCCGGGCGGUGGUUGUCCCGGGGUAAGGGUGUAGCCCGUGUGGUAGGUAAAUCCGUCACAC